RNAcentral lists this ribosomal RNA (885 nucleotides) under uncultured archaeon. Its description in RNAcentral is "bacterial SSU rRNA". It matches the Rfam family "Archaeal small subunit ribosomal RNA", at positions 20 to 907 of the family's 1478-position model. The record is from RNAcentral.
GAGGACAUUGCUAUUGGGAUUCGAUUUAGCCAUGCUAGUCGAACGAGUUCACACUCGUGGCAGAUAGCUCAGUAACACGUGGCCAAGCUACCCUUCAGUCAGCGAUACCCUCGGGAAACUGAGGCUAAUAGCUGAUACUCGACGCCAGCUGGAAUGCGGCGUCGUCGAAAGACACCGCUGAAGGAUGCGGCUGCGGCCGAUUAGGUAGACGGUGGGGUAACGGCCCACCGUGCCAGUAAUCGGUACGGGUGAUGAGAGUCAGAGCCCGGAGACGGAAUCUGAGACAAGAUUCCGGGCCCUACGGGGCGCAGCAGGCGCGAAACCUUUACACUGCACGGAAGUGCGAUAGGGGAAUCCCAAGUGCGAGGGCAUAUUAGCCCUCGCUUUUGUUGACUCUAAGGUGGUCAACGAAUAAGAGCUGGGCAAGACCGGUGCCAGCCGCCGCGGUAAUACCGGCAGCUCGAGUGAUGUCCCAUAUUAUUGGGCCUAAAGCGUCCGUAGCUGGCCAACCAAGUCUAUCGGGAAAUCCACCUGCCCAACGGGUGGGCGUCCGGUAGAAACUGGCUGGCUUGGAACCGGAAGGCUCAGAGAGUACGUCCGGGGUAGGAGUGAAAUCCCGUAAUCCCGGACGGACUACCGAUGGCGAAAGCACUCUGAGAAGACGGCUUCGACAGUGAGGGACGAAAGCUAGGGUCUCAAACCGGAUUAGAUACCCGGGUAGUCCUAGCUGUAAACGAUGCUCGUUAGGGUGUGGCACCCACUACGAGUGGGUGCUGUGCCGUAGGGAAGCCGCUAAACGAGCCGCCUGGGAAGUACGUCCGCAAGGAUGAAACUUAAAGGAAUUGGCGGGGGAGCACUACAACCGGAGGAGCCUGCGGUUUAUUG